Molecule: long non-coding RNA, 818 nt
Filed under: Papio anubis (olive baboon)
Lineage: Eukaryota; Metazoa; Chordata; Mammalia; Primates; Cercopithecidae
Description: lncRNA (ENSPANG00000038415.1)
Source: RNAcentral
GGACGCCGAAGGACAGCAGAGUUGGUUGAUGGAGAGCAUCUGGUCAGCCUCCUGGCGUGCGUGGCAGGGCUGAGAAGGUGGCAAGUGAAUAUGGGGCUGGGGCUGGAAGACAUCCACGGCAGAUGACUGUAAGUGCUAUGGAGAAAAAUAAAGUAGGAAAGAGAGACAAGGAGGAAAUAGGGUAAGGAACAGAAAGAUAAAGAGAUUGCGACUUACCUGAGGUCACACACCGGUGAGACUAAAACUAUGCCUGUGAUGACACCACUGAAGCAUCUACGGCACGGAUGCCCACUCUUCUGUCAGAGUCCACGUGUCAGCCAGUACCAAGAUUUCAUUAACCAAUUUAUGAAAGAGAAUCAUUUCAUCAUGUGGAGUUUUCCAGUGUAAAUAUCUACUUGCUCUUCUAUCAAGGUAAACAGGUUUUAUUCAUGAUAAUACAGUAUGUACAGACAUAAUUUUUUUACAGUUUAAACAAUCACUUUUACAUUUGUUAUUUUAAUCUUUGUACAAAUUCUGUGAGAUAUUACCAUUUCCUUCAUUUUAUAGAUGAGAAAUCUGAGAUUGAGUAACUUAGGACACGUGUUGCCAAUAAGUGGUGGGUCUGGAAUCCAAAUUCAGAGAUGAAAACCCACUAAUGAAUCCAGCAUGUAAUUACAUUUCUGUUUUCUAUCGGCAAAUGUAUGAUUGUGAGUAACAGCUGUUAUUUGAUGAAAAACUAGAAAACUUUCUAAUGCAGAGAUCAUGGCUUCUAUCCCAAUAGUUAGUAUUCCUGAAAAGGUUCCUUGGAUCAUUAGUGACUACCUUAAAAAGAGAUUCUG